This 369-nucleotide ribosomal RNA is filed under the name uncultured organism. Its description in RNAcentral is "partial 16S ribosomal RNA". It matches the Rfam family "Bacterial small subunit ribosomal RNA", at positions 527 to 896 of the family's 1533-position model. The record is from RNAcentral.
GUAGGUGGCAAGCGUUGUCCGGAAUUAUUGGGCGUAAAGCGCGCGCAGGCGGUUCUUUAAGUCUGAUGUGAAAGCCCACGGCUCAACCGUGGAGGGUCAUUGGAAACUGGAGAACUUGAGUACAGAAGAGGAAAGCGGAAUUCCACGUGUAGCGGUGAAAUGCGUAGAGAUGUGGAGGAACACCAGUGGCGAAGGCGGCUUUCUGGUCUGUAACUGACGCUGAGGCGCGAAAGCGUGGGGAGCAAACAGGAUUAGAUACCCUGGUAGUCCACGCCGUAAACGAUGAGUGCUAAGUGUUAGGGGGUUUCCGCCCCCCUUAGUGCUGCAGCUAACGCAUUAGCACUCCGCCUGGGAUACGGCGCAAGGCUG